RNAcentral lists this long non-coding RNA (3283 nucleotides) under Salmo salar (Atlantic salmon). RNAcentral's name for it is "lncRNA (ENSSSAG00000112385.1)". The record is from RNAcentral. Lineage: Eukaryota; Metazoa; Chordata; Actinopteri; Salmoniformes; Salmonidae.
UGGGCUAUUAUAAGUUUGUACAAAUCUUCUAAAAACAGGGAUAGCAUUUCUUCUAUAAUGAAACCAUUAUCCAAAACCCAUCUACAAAAACAGCAAAAUAUUCUUUAUUGAAGAAAAAUAAAUCUAGUCCUAGCAGAAGAACCACACAUGACAUGGCUCUGAGAAAUCACAGGUGAAAAACAAAUCAAAUGAAACCGACUCAAAUGGGGAACAAGAAACAACAGGCAUGUACUGGUAUAUAAUAUAUAGAUAUCUACAGUGCAGAAUACAUCCAAAUCAAGUAGUGUUGCAGAAAAAUAAAAUAAUAAAACAUUUCAGCUAACUUUCCCCAUAUUUCCAGGUUCUCCAGGAAUCCUGGUUGGAAGAUGCUCGAUUUCUUCUUGUUCCCUCCAACCUGGAUUUCUGGAGAAUUUGGGAAAAAGUUACUGGAAUUUUGCUACACUAAAUCAUACACAAUUCCAACAGAUACAGGAAUGUUAUGGUCAGGAGAAGGGACAUAACAAUAAUGUGAUUGAUGAUUUUGUAAUGUUUCAUAACCAAGGGAAACAAGGGUUUGGACCAUGGAAAUAAACAACACUCUAGAUAUGUAGAGUGUACCAAUAUGUAUACUGAACAAAAAUAUAAAACGCAACAUGUAAAGUAUUGCUCCCAUGAGCUGAAAUAAAAGAUCCCAGAAAUGUUCCAUACGCACAAAAACCUUUCUCUAAUUUUGUGCACUAAUUUGUUUACAUCCCUGUUAGUGAGCAUUUCUCAUUUGCCAAGGUAAUCCAUUCAACUGACAGGUGUGGCAUAUCAAGAAGCUGAUUAAACAGCAUGAUCAUUACACAUGUGCACCUUGUGCUGGGGACAAUAAAAGGCCACUGUAAAAGUGUGCGGUUUAUCACACAACACAAUGCCACAGAUGUCUCAAGUUGAGGGAGUGUGCAAUUGCCAUGCUGACUGCAGUAAUGUCCACCAGAGCUGUUGCCAGAGAAUGUAAUGUUAAUAUCGCUACCAUAACGUCAUUGUUUACAUGUUGCGUUUAUAUUUUUGUUCAGUUGUGUCACAAUAGAGGAAUAUUUUACAUUCAAACAGAAAUUAGGAGAAUGAAUUAAUGUUCGUCUUUCAUCAAGGCCAUUGGAGAAACAGGACAAGUGAUCAAAUAGAGAGGCGAAACAGAAAGGUGGGGGAGAAAAAUAAGUGAUAUUAACAGGAAGUCACCAAGUGCCUGAAUUUAAGCCUCAGUCAGAUAAAUAACAACGUGAUAUAGUGAAAGCCUCGUCUGUAAUGCAGUAGCUGGAAUCAUACCGGCAUAGCAGACUUUACAAAUCAGGAUUAUAAAUAACAUACAUUGUGUAUACAUUUACACAUGUAAACAUUCUCCACCCUACUCUGACCACCUGACAGGCCACGGCAUAUUUCUGGUUUGAUACAGCAUGCGUGGACGACAUCCUGUUACUCUUUUUGGUUUGACUUGUGCUGAGAGCUACAGUAAGUCCCAAUGAACGCCAAGGAAACUGGAACUCACAGGACAUAAGUCGUGAGAGCUGCUUGCAUAUUUGUUUUUCCUAGGGAGGUUUUUACCGCAGUCACAAAGUCAAUUGUCUAUAUUAUAAAAAUGUUAUUUUUGGUGUUAAUUUAAGGCUAGGCAUAAGGUUAGCAGUGUGGUUAAGGCUAGGCAUAAGGUCAGCAGUGUGGUUAAGGCUAGGCAUAAGGUUAGCAGUGUGGUUAAGGCUAGGCAUAAGGUUAGCAGUGUGGUUAAGGCUAGGCAUAAGGUCAGCAGUGUGGUUAAGGCUAGGCAUAAGGUUAGCAGUGUGGUUAAGGUUAGGCAUAAGGUCAGCAGUGUGGUUAAGGUUAGGCAUAAGCUUAGCAGUGUGGUUAAGGUUAGGUUUAAAAUAACAUUUUAGGAAAAUGAAUUGAAGAAAUGGGCAGGGUUUACGACUUCACGGCUGGGGUAACUAGUAUCUCGCCCCAAAAUCUCAUAGGAAAAACUCAUUUGCGAGCUUCUUAGCUUACACUUCUGGGGCGUGUUCAUUAGGGUACACCAUUGAUAAUAGCUUUGAAAACUUUUGUAACGUAAACAUAAAUUGUUUGUUAUUGGACCAGUACAGUUCAGAGAACACUCGGCACCAUUAGGCUGUACCAGGUCUGCAGCCCUGUUAUAUUUUCUACAAAAUGCCUCUAUACCUUCCUUCCUUCCUAAUUGUUCUGAUUUUACAUGGUCUGUUGACUGAUGUGAUGGAGAGAAAACAACCACAUGACAGACCAGAUAGAAAUCAAGAAAGGACUGAAGGAUGAAUUCAACAGGAUCUGUCUUCAGGGUAACCAGAGGAAUACGGCCCUGUACACUGACCCAGGCAAACAGGAUCUGUCUUCAGGGUAACCAGAGGAAUAUGGCCCUGUACACUGACCCAGGCAAACAGGAUCUGUCUUCAGGGUAACCAGAGGAAUACGGCCCUGUACACUGACCCAGGCAAACAGGAUCUGUCUUCAGGGUAACCAGAGGAAUACGGCCCUGUACAGUGACCCAGGCAAACAGGAUCUGUCUUCAGGGUAACCAGAGGAAUAUGGCCCUGUACACUGACCCAGGCAAACAGGGGAGUCAUUUCAUUGGUUCCUUUUCGCCAGCAGAAUCAUGAUAAACCGGGGAAAGAUUGGUUUUGCUGCAAGCGUUGUACAUAAAAACGGUUGAACAGAUUCAGCAUAUUCAAUAAAACAGCACCAACUCUUUUAUUGUACACAUCGGACAGUCUAACAGAAGUUGUUUUUGGAGACUGACUUCCGCCCUCUUUGAAGCAGAGGCCCUGCCCUCACUGUUUCCUGCCCACUUCCUGGUUACGUCAAUAGAACCCCAGGGCCACGUUCAGCAGCCAAAAUUUUGCAAAUAGAAACACCAGAAAUAGAGCCAACAUGAUUCCUUAUUCUACAGGUCAGAGAGGCAUGUUUGUUCUACAUAGCAUAUUUCUAUCUGAACGUUCCCCAACAUUGCGUCUUGCUGAACGCGCACCCCCAGGGGGAAUGGAUCAUUAUCACUGUGGCAGAUGAAUUGUAAACAACAAGGCUGCGUUCAGCAGCGCACACUGUUGUGGAAUGUUAAGAUAUGUUUUUUGUAGAACUAACAUGCCUCUGACCUGCAGGAUAAGGAAUCAAAGCUCUCUUCAUGAUAUUUAUGUCUGCAACGCUCCACAACGUUUGGUUUGCAUACUGAAUGAGACAAUGACCCGUCUACCCGGCACAACGCCCCUCUACGUACAGCCCGUCUUCCCGGCACAACGCCCCUCUACGUACAGCCCGUCUUCCCGGC